GGGGAUUUAGCUCAGUGGGAGAGCGCCUUGUCGCCCAGGAGGCCGUGGGUUCGAUCCCCACAAUCUCCA
RNAcentral lists this transfer RNA (69 nucleotides) under Allomyces macrogynus ATCC 38327. RNAcentral's name for it is "tRNA-Und (NNN) (tRNA-Und-NNN-2-1)". It matches the Rfam family "tRNA". From Rfam's summary of the family: Transfer RNA (tRNA) molecules are approximately 80 nucleotides in length. Their secondary structure includes four short double-helical elements and three loops (D, anti-codon, and T loops). Lineage: Eukaryota; Fungi; Blastocladiomycota; Blastocladiomycetes; Blastocladiales; Blastocladiaceae. The record is from Rfam by way of RNAcentral.